GUGCCAGCAGCCGCGGUAAGACGAACCGUGCGAACGUUGUUCGGAAUCACUGGGCUUAAAGGGCGCGUAGGCGGCCUGCCAAGUCAGGGGUGAAAGCCCCCAGCUCAACUGGGGAAGUGCCUUUGAUACUGGCGGGCUCGAGCGAGGCAGGGGUCGUGGGAACUUCCGGUGGAGCGGUGAAAUGCGUUGAUAUCGGAAGGAACGCCGGUGGCGAAAGCGCACGACUGGUCCUCUUCUGACGCUGAGGCGCGAAAGCCAGGGGAGCAAACGGGAUUAGAUACCCCCGUAGUCC
This 292-nucleotide ribosomal RNA is filed under the name uncultured bacterium. RNAcentral describes it as "partial 16S ribosomal RNA". It matches the Rfam family "Bacterial small subunit ribosomal RNA", at positions 505 to 796 of the family's 1533-position model. The record is from RNAcentral.